Molecule: ribosomal RNA, 466 nt
Filed under: Alkalibacterium sp. M18-C2
Lineage: Bacteria; Bacillati; Bacillota; Bacilli; Lactobacillales; Carnobacteriaceae
Description: bacterial SSU rRNA
Rfam family: Bacterial small subunit ribosomal RNA
Source: RNAcentral
UGAGCUUGAUCCUGGCUCAGGACGAACGCUGGCGGUAUGCCUAAUACAUGCAAGUCGAACGCUGAAGCACUCUGCUUGCAGAGUGCGGAUGAGUGGCGAACGGGUGAGUAACACGUGGGUAACCUGCCCAUAAGAGGGGGAUAACAUCCGGAAACGGGUGCUAAUACCGCAUAGGUGAACGGAGCGCAUGCUCUGUUCAUUAAAGGUGGCCUUGCGCUACCGCUUAUGGAUGGACCCGCGGCGUAUUAGCUAGUUGGUGAGGUAAUGGCUCACCAAGGCGAUGAUACGUAGCCGACCUGAGAGGGUGAUCGGCCACACUGGGACUGAGACACGGCCCAGACUCCUACGGGAGGCAGCAGUAGGGAAUCUUCCACAAUGGGCGAAAGCCUGAUGGAGCAAUACCGCGUGAGUGAAGAAGGUCUUCGGAUCGUAAAGCUCUGUUGUUAGAGAAGAACACGCAGAACAG